CAUGUACGGUGAGUUAGAGGAUCAAUUGCCAUCAGCAUAGGUAGAACAAAUACGUCAUUGACGACCUAUCGGCGGCGUCGUCGUCUCCUCCUCCGCCGAAGAAGAAUCCCGUGAUGAGGCAGGAAGGCAAGACGACGCCGGCGAGAGACCUCCCCGGCCCCGCCCGCUCCAGGCUUACCCGUCGCCGACAGAUCCGCAAGACGUUCAACAACCUUAAGAUCACCGUCCUCUGCGGUGUCGUCACCAUUCUCGUCCUCCGCGGCACCGUUGGCAUCGGGAGCCUCAUCGGCGCCGGCGGAGGCUCUGAGGCCUCCGAAGACUCCGACAAGAAGGUUGUCGAGGACAUAGACCGCAUCCUUCGCGAGAUCCGUUCGGACUCCGACCCGGACGAGGGCGACCAGAUCCCGUUCGGAUUUAACUCCGCUGCCGCCGCUCUCAACUAUACCUCUUCCGACGUCCUCGACGCCGUUGCCAACUACACCCUCGGCUCCAAGAUCUCCGACUGGGACGAGCAGCGGCGGCGGUGGCUGACCGAGAACCCAGGGUUCCCGAACCGGAUCGCUACCGGCAAGCCGAGGACCUUACUUGUCACUGGAUCGCCGCCCAACCCAUGCGACAACGCCAUUGGCGACCAUUACCUUCUGAAGGGCACCAAGAACAAGAUCGAUUAUUGCCGCAUCCAUGGGAUCGAGAUCGUCUACAAUAUGGCGCAUCUAGACCAGGAGCUCGCAGGGUACUGGGCGAAGCUCCCGCUGAUCCGCCGUCUGAUGCUCGCGCACCCGGAGUUGGAGUGGAUCUGGUGGAUGGACAGCGACGCUCUCUUUACCGACAUGGCCUUCGAGAUUCCUCUCGACCGAUAUGCUUCUCACAAUCUCGUUAUCCAUGGCUAUCCCGAUCUCCUCUUUGAGAAAAAUUCCUGGAUUGCCCUCAACACCGGCAGCUUUCUGCUGCGCAAUUGCCAGUGGAGUCUCGAUUUGCUUGAUGCGUGGGCGCCGAUGGGGCCAAAAGGCCCGAUUCGAGAUGAAGCCGGAAAGAUACUGACUGCCAAACUGCAGGGUCGGCCGGCGUUCGAGGCCGACGAUCAAUCGGCGCUCAUUUACUUACUGCUAUCGCAGAAGAAUCGGUGGGUAGACAAGGUUUACAUCGAAAACUCCUAUUACCUUCAUGGAUUUUGGACUGGAUUGGUGGAGAAAUUUGAGGAAAUGAUGGAGAAGCAUCAUCCCGGACUAGGGGACGAGAGGUGGCCAUUCGUAACUCAUUUUGUUGGCUGCAAGCCUUGUGGUAGCUAUGGAGACUACCCUGUGGAGAGAUGCUUGAAAAACAUGGAGAGAGCUUUCAAUUUUGCAGAUAACCAAGUGCUCAGAAUGUAUGGGUUUUCUCAUGGAAACCUGACCACCCAUAAGAUUAAGAGGACUAAGAAGCAGACAGAAAAGCCAUUGGAAUUCUUGAAUCAGCUUAAUCCUGAAGCUAAGAUAGAAACCAAAGGGUGAGACAGACAGGCCAUCUAUGGGACUAAUGGACUAUUGUUCUACAAAAUCUCAGUUUCACAUAGAGAAAACCUGGCAGAUUCUGAGAUUGCAGUUCCCUAUUAGAAAAGGAGAACUGCUUCAGCUCUAUAGUAUGUUGCUUUGUGGGCGAUCGAACAAGAAGGGAUUAAACAUAUGAACUCAGCGUCAGCAUCUUGUUGCAAAUUGGAUUCAAAGAAUUCAUCAUCUUUUCCUUGAAAGAACCACAACUUGACAUCAAAACCCAUGGGUUCAACGGUAUGAAUUAUAUUCUAUUUGUUGGAGUAAUUCAACAUGCAUGUAUCUUAUUGUUGGAUCCACUGAGCAAGCAACUCAACCUCAGUAGCUUAUCGUCGCAGCACUUGCUGUGAAUGAGGUAAUCUUUUGUAUGACCUAUUUCUCAUUUUGGAACAAUAAAAAACAGCAGCACUGAAUCUCAUUAUCCAGAACAAGACCUCACCCAGCAUUUAGUGCCUUAUUGUGGGUGUAACCAAACCACUUGGGAUAAGAAAAGCAUGAACUCAGCACCAGUAUCUUAUUGCGAGCUGAAUUCAGACAAGAACUCGGCAUCUCUUUGAGAAAGAACAAGAACUUGACAUCAUGCAUGUACCCAACUAUUGAAGUAAUCAAACAGGAAGUUGACCAAAAAAAAAAAAAAAGCCACUAACUCAGAAGCUUAACAUCAUGACUGAUUAAGCAAAUAACUCAG
RNA transcript from Zingiber officinale, 2214 nucleotides. It is a transcript of the gene named probable glycosyltransferase 2, with no coding region annotated. The transcript has 3 exons. The record is from RefSeq and is a predicted model, not a curated record. Lineage: Eukaryota; Viridiplantae; Streptophyta; Magnoliopsida; Zingiberales; Zingiberaceae.